This 73-nucleotide transfer RNA is filed under the name Tupanvirus deep ocean. Its description in RNAcentral is "tRNA-Cys". It matches the Rfam family "tRNA". Rfam says of the family: Transfer RNA (tRNA) molecules are approximately 80 nucleotides in length. Their secondary structure includes four short double-helical elements and three loops (D, anti-codon, and T loops). Further hydrogen bonds mediate the characteristic L-shaped molecular structure. tRNAs have two regions of fundamental functional importance: the anti-codon, which is responsible for specific mRNA codon recognition, and the 3' end, to which the tRNAs corresponding amino acid is attached (by aminoacyl-tRNA synthetases). tRNAs cope with the degeneracy of the genetic code in two manners: having more than one tRNA (with a specific anti-codon) for a particular amino acid; and 'wobble' base-pairing, i.e. permitting non-standard base-pairing at the 3rd anti-codon position. RNAcentral also lists the same sequence under 1 other name. Lineage: Varidnaviria; Bamfordvirae; Nucleocytoviricota; Megaviricetes; Imitervirales; Mimiviridae. The record is from RNAcentral.
GGUUCCUUAGCUUAAUGGUAAAGCACCACCCUGCAAAGGUGCGAGUUGUUGGUUCGAAUCCGACAGGGACCUC